Non-coding RNA from Erinaceus europaeus (western European hedgehog), 135 nucleotides. The record is from Rfam. NCBI's taxonomy places the organism in Eukaryota, Metazoa, Chordata, Mammalia, Eulipotyphla, Erinaceidae.
CAGGCACUGAGCCCCAGUGAUAGCCCUGGUUGGGAGAAAAAAUAAUUCAAACACAGGUGCUAACAGCAAAGGUGGUCUUGUCACCUUUGGAGGACUUUCUAUACCCUUCAAAAUGAAUUUAGUGGUUCUACACAU